Long non-coding RNA from Serinus canaria (Common canary), 449 nucleotides. RefSeq lists it as uncharacterized. The record is from RefSeq and is a predicted model, not a curated record. Lineage: Eukaryota; Metazoa; Chordata; Aves; Passeriformes; Fringillidae. The transcript has 3 exons.
ACAAAACUCGGUUCUUGCUGGAAAUCCCUCCCUGGGCUACAUGAGCAGGUGCUGGAAAAAGUCUGCAGUGUGUUUGGUUUCCAUCCGUGUUAAUGAACUUCCAGAUGAUGCUCAUGGAGAAAAGUGAAACGUGCACAGACCUCUUUUCAGUCUGGAAAUUUGACGAGACUUGAGAUUCUGGUCUUACUGACCUUGCACUCAGACUGAUUGACCAGUAUCAUCCUCACAAAGAAAUGAUGAUUUCAAGACCCUUUUUUUCCAGCUACUGAGCUCAGAGUCAGUCAAAAGCUCCUGAAAGGUGUGGAGUGUGUCUCUCAGAGUCCAAAGCCUUUGGUUACCUUUCACAAAGUGACCCAGAGCCCAUGCUGGGAUGGUUAUUGCCCAAAACAAAACCAGUGCAGGUUGUGGGAGCACCCAGUUGUUGCUGACUGCUCAGUGUUGGGAUCUGG